Long non-coding RNA from Equus asinus (donkey), 4127 nucleotides. The record is from Ensembl. NCBI's taxonomy places the organism in Eukaryota, Metazoa, Chordata, Mammalia, Perissodactyla, Equidae.
UAAUAUAUAUUUUAUUGUUUUAUUAAUAAAAUUGUAUAUUUCAUUGUAUAUUUAUAUAUGUAAAAUUGUAUGUUUUAUUUAGCUUACAGCAAUGUAUUAGCAUUUAGUUUCCAAGUGGUUUCUUGUAAGUCAGAUGACAUCAUAAUACUUCCAAUUCAUAAGUUACAACGUUUAAGAUUUUAUGAACACGGAACAUUAAAAUAAAGUAAUAAUCAUCUUCGACCAAGUUUAUGCAAAUCGCAAAUAGAUGGAUGUCCACUACAUUAAUGAAGUUUUGUAGAACAAUUGGAGUUAUUUGCGUUUACAAGAUUCAUUAUUCCUAUGAUCAUCUGCACCUCCUACAACCACAUGGAUUCAAGAGAUCAGGAGGCAAACUGUAGCAGCUAUAAAGGCAGAACACCUGUGGUGGCUCUGCCAGAGUUCCCACAACCCCGUUCCACUCUUUCUUGCUGAGCUGUUUGGGAGCUCUACUGGGAAAUGCUGGGGGUCGAACCUGGAAAAGCAGAAUCUGUAACCAAACCCAAAAGGGAUUGCUGAAUGCUCUCCUUCCUGUUUUGAGCCAAGAGCCAAGAUUCUAAAUUUCAUGAUAUUGAACUAUGACCAGGUGGAGCCUCAGAGCAGAGUGAAGAGAGGACAGGCAGCUGCAGAUCCGGCCCCAUUGUCUGCAGGUCACCUAUAGCAUCCAUCACAGCAAGUUCCAGUUAUUUGUUUACACCGGGGAGCCUACCUACAGCUUCCUGUACCAUGGAAAUUAUAAAGGAGAGAAUCCCCCAUCCUUAAUUACAGGCUGCAAAAUAAUGACAGCAAACAACAUUUUUCUUCACGGUUCAAGACUAAUAAUUGAGGUCUGUCCAUUCAAAUUUGACUAUAGAAAGAUAUUGCAUAAUUCACUAUCAAGAUUUGUGUGACUUCUAGGGCAUUUCUGUCCGUUUUGCAAAGUGAAGCACACAAUAGGAAUUGACGUCUGCCCCAAAAUACAGACUUGAGAUUUAUCAAAGAAUCUCAACCAUAAAUAACAGGAAUUUUACAUGACAAACACUCGAGUUAGUUGAAAGACGUGAAUCUAAAUUUUUCUUCUUAUAUUUUGUGGCUUAGUAAAUCUGGGUGAGUUUUUGAGUGCUUAUUCUCUUACCUUUAGAAGGAACCAGCACAUAGGAUUAAUACAGGUUCAAAUGAGAGUUUAUAUUAAGUGCUUAGAAGUAAACUAUUAUGUAAAUAUUUGUUGUUAGAAUAGUUGAGUAGGCAUGGUCUUUAGCACCAUGCUUUGCAAAAAGCUUUUGUUUCUUCUAUCUUCCGAGACUACACUCCAAAAAAUAAUUUUUUCUUUAACCAGAAAAAUAGAUAAUGGAUUCAGAAAUAUUUAGAAAGGGAGGCUGGCCCUGUGGCAUGGUGGUUAGGUUCCACACACUCCUCUUUGGUUGCCUGGGUUCAUGGGUUUGGCUCCCUGGUGUGGACCUACACCAAUCGUCAGGCAUACUGUGGCAGCGACCCACAUACGGAAUGGAGGAAGGUUGGCACAGAUGUUGGCUCAGGGCAUAUCUUCCUCAGCAAAAAUAUUUAGGAAGGGAAUGUCAACUUUAUUAAAAAUAUUUGGUGAUGCUAUAAUUCAAUGGUUUGUGUAUUCUAUCUGUAGUUCCUUUUUCAAUUUCAUACCCAGUUAGACCUUUAGAAAACUGGAAGUCUUGUUUAUUUGUUUGCUUUUGAAUUUUUUAAAGUUGAUUUACUCUUUUAAAAUAUUACAAAUCUGAUUAAUUGGUUCACAAAAUGGUUUUCUUUUUUAAAAAAAACUCUAGUGUUUAUAUUAGGUAAACAAUUCAAACACUGAAUUCAUGUUUGAAAUGUUUGCAAAUACCUUUGAAAUUUACCAAAUUUAAAAUCAGAAGGUAUUAUAACUAAGAAUCUUCUCUUAGGCGUUCUUGGUUGAAAAAUGGUUUUGAUUAUUGUAUAUAUGCACAUGUUAAUUUGAAUUUAUCAACAUUAAACUCACACAACAUCUUUUUACCCCAAGUUAUAACCAAAAGAAAUGCUAUUUAGUUUUCAUAUAAAGAUAUAAUUCAAACAGAACUUAAUUAUUUGAAAUUAUGUCUUGUUUUGCUUUAUUCAUGGCACUGGUGUGGAGGGCGUUCAUUUUGUUGCUUCAGCCUAAUAUUCUUCAGCCUGGUCGAUUUGUGGUGAUGUGCUGUCUCUCUGUCCUCAGCAGGAUAAUAAAGAGCAACCACAGAUUGCUCUUAUUCAGUUUGUAAAAUGCUCAGUCAAUGUUGUUCUGAGCUGGGAAUCAAAUUAAGAAGAACACCAUGACCUUCAGGAGAGGCCGGACACAGAGUGUAGUGCCAGCGCUGAAACAAAAUGAAGUCCCACGCAAGCCCCCAAGACAGGGUCCCAUGCCACCAUGGCAAUCUGAGUCCCCUUUUCCGAGGUGACCUCUGCCUUCCUGACCCCUUGGUCCUCAGCCUUUCUCAUCUUCAUUGUUCGUGCUCUCUAUGGGACAGGACACUGGAGCACCCUCUCUUUUGAAAUUAAUUUGUCAGCAAUCUUGCCAAAUAUAUGGGUUCAACUUCUGCCUAAGAGAAACUUCCAAACCAAGCUCUGAGGUCCUGGAAAACAACUUCAGGGGCAUAAUCCUAAACUAUAGUUAGAGUCGGAAACGAGUGGACUUUGUACAGCACCAAGAAGUGGACAGGGUACAAACAGUAAUAACUCCAUAGAGAGCCACGAAUCAAAAAGAUAGCCUCUAAGUACAAAUGGCCACAAAUCAGAAGAUAGUGAAAAGAUAGUCUAUAUGUACAAAUAGUACUUCUAGCUGUUCUCUUGACUUUGCUGUCAAUAGAUGUUUUCAAACACAAAAAGAAGCAAUAUUCUUAAAUGUUUUGGAGCAAGGGAGUGUUUUACAUUUUUUAUGGCCAAUAGCCUAGGUCAAGGUCAACUUUUGGUAUCAAGGCUAAGUUUAGUCAAUGGUGGGUCAGGGUAUUCAGUCAGUGACACACAGAGAAUAUCUGACAUGUAGAUAUUUUGCAAUAUGUUCUCUUGGUUAUUGUUUCAGGUGAAACAUAGCUGAAGCUCACAGAAGAGAAAUGAUCUAAUUCUCUAAUUUCUUGCUUGGAUUGAGGAAUGGAAAGCUUUUAGGAAACAUAACAGUAUUACUCCCUCCAACCAACACAAAAAUCCAUGUGACUGUGAUAAUUUAAUUAAUAUACGAUAUGUGGAUAAAUUCUAACAACUUAUUUACAGGCUAUGAAAUUUUUAAUGUCUUUAACUGAAAUGUUUUAAAAUGCAGUUGAGACUGAAAUAUUUUCUGAAAUAUUCAAUUAUCUUUUAUUGUUUAUAAAAUGAAUGAUGGGAAAAUAAAUGUAAACCCAGAUAAUGCUUUUAUCUCUAUGAAAGCAUAAAUUCCUUAUUGUUAAGCAACUGCAAAAUCCUUUUAUGUGUUUAAUGAUGUGGCUAUUAUAAAACUAGAUUGAAUAAACUGCUCAUUGUUCUAUGUCUUCUCAUGAGGCAGUUUCAUUAGGAACAAUUAGGUCGAAGGGCCAGCCUGGUGGCGCAGAAGUUAAGUGUGCACAUUUCGCUUCAGCAGCCUGAGGUUCGCAGGUUCGGAUCCCUGUUGUGGACGUGGCACCUCUUGGCAAGCUAUGCUGUGGUAGGGCGUCCCACAUGUAAACUGGAGGAAGGUGGGCACGGAUGUGAGCUCAGGGCCAGUCUUCUUCAGCAAAAAGAGGAGGAUUGGCAGCAGAUGUUAGCUCAAGGCUAGUCUUCCUCAAAAAAAAGAGAACAGUUUGGUCACACUGUGUGAAGAUGUCAUCAGCUAUGUUGCUCAUUUAAAUUGUAAAACAUUUGAACAACGUAGUAUUUGGGAGAAUUGCAUCUAUAUUAGAAGCCUGAGUUUCCACUUUGGGAUUUUUAACGAAAAUAUUUUCAUUAUGUCUUAAUUUAACUUUGAAUCCUUAACUUUUUCUUUAUAGUAUUGUUUUUGUAUUGGGCUUAUUAUUAGACUUGAGUCCUGAAAAUUUGUGAGCUCCAAGUUCAAACCAGCCUCCAAGGUUAAGUGGAAAUCUUGUGUUUAUUUGUAAUAAAUAAAUCCCUCAGAGCUGUCUUUUCAGAACAUUAUCACUUCCUCAGUUUCCCUUCCUUAC